This is a long non-coding RNA of Bubalus bubalis (water buffalo), 2321 nucleotides long. RefSeq lists it as uncharacterized. The record is from RefSeq and is a predicted model, not a curated record. Lineage: Eukaryota; Metazoa; Chordata; Mammalia; Artiodactyla; Bovidae. The transcript has 2 exons.
GGUUUUGUUGAUGCUGGGACUUGCUGCUGGGAAAAAAAAAAAAAUACAACACUCCUGCUGCCUUUCUUAGGGCAUCAGGCACUGAAUCUUUCCCCUCAUUUGAUUCACUGACCUCUCAAGUGCAUCAUCACCCCGAGGGCUCCGGGCGUCCGGCAACUGUUAAGCCCCUUGGGUUGAUAAUCUCCUCCCGCGUUUGCCCUUAACACCAGGCAUACCACCAUUAGCCGCAGCUGCACCGGUGCUCAUUAGAGGCGAUCGAUGUCGACCAGAUAAAGCACUCUGCCGCUCCCCACCUCCCCUCACUGCAGACCUAUAGGCCUGCCCACGCAAGCCUCCCUGUCAGCUACCCAAAAGAGGGGGCUCUGUUUUGAAAAAAAAAAGAGGGGGAGAGGAGGAUGAAAAAGGAGGAGGGGAAAGUCCAUAUUUACUUUCUUGGUCUCAGGAUGCUGUUGACUGUCUAGAAGAAAUGUUAUUUUUACUGUGAUGUGAAAAUCGCCCAUCUUUGCCUCCCGAGACUCCUGGCCUCCAGGCAAGGCCCAGAGAAAAAUGGUUCCUGAGGAAAGAAGGAUGGGCUAAGAUGGGCGGGAUGUGGUAUUGAUGCUAGACCCAGUUGCUAUUGGGUUUCUGCAGACCACGGAGGUCUGGGGCUAUGGCUGGCAGUGGUGGCUGGAGUCCUGCUUCUUGCCAGAAGGUGUUGCCAGAGAGCCUGGGAACUCGGGCUGGGAGUCGGGCCCCAGGGGGAGCUGGAGGCAGGAGCGAUAUCAGGGUGCCCCCCACCCCACCCUGAGUCUGCUCAGCCUCCCAGACUUCUGCAGCUUGGCAUCCUGUCCCAGCAGCUGCGUCAGGAUGCCCACUGGAUGAUUCUUCGCCGUGGUGGGCUGGGAGGGACCUGGCCCCUCACUGGGAAGGACCGGAGAGAUGGGAACGUGGAGGACACCCCAGGAGGAACCAGAGACGACAGGAGCAUCCGGGGGCCAGAACAUUCAAGAGGUUUCACCUAUGUUUUUCCACACGUGAGGCCGUUUGGAAUGAAUACCUGACCUAAAUCAUAUCUUUUCCUGAUGGAGGCAGUGCUCCCUUGAGAAUUACUGGAGACAGUCCCAACCAAACCGGACUGCUGAUCCCUACCAUGGAGAAGUUAGGCGGGGACAGAAGAGUCUUGGUGUCAGGAGAGCACCAAGACCCUACCAGUGGCCAUGCCAGGCAGAGGAUGGGGACUCUACUCCUGGGAGUGUGGGCCCCCCAAGCAAGCUCGGGUAGGCACUCUUCAGACAGAGGCGAGUCCCUAUGGGGGAUGACACCCCACUGGUUCCCCAGCAGUCCCACUGCGGGGUAGGUCACUCUUAACUUUCCCCGUGUCCUUUAUUCUGUGCCUGGAAUGUUUGUUUAGUGACAGAAGCCAUAACACCAAAAAACAUGGGUAAAAAAAGAAACCUUCGUCUGUAAAGAUAAGCAGAGAGAGAAUAGUGACUCAUGACAAAAAAAAAAAAAAAAAAAAACAAAAGCAAAAGCAAAAAACCCAGAAGUCCUGAGCAAAUACCCUUGCAUGAAAUAAAGUAACAGCAAGGCAUAGGAAAUUCCAGAAAUUUGCAAGUUUCUGUUUUUAAGCAAGAUGGCAGUGACAUUGCAGCUAUGAAACUGGAGCGGGCAGUUUGGAAGGUGGCAAAACAAGACCCUCAAAGGCGAUAUACGAAUAAACAAUUGCUGAAGUCUAAAGGGCAGUUUCCUAAUUGUGGAAAAUUGAUUCAGUGAGUUGGAGGUGAACUUGAGAAUUUAAGGAAGCACAGAGAGUAGGUAUAAAUAAAUUCAUAAAGGAGAAAGUAGGAGACCUGGAAAGGCAAGAACCAGGAGCUGUACAAUGGGAAUUCCUGAGAGAGCAGAGUGAGCAGAGAAGCCAAAAUAAUCACCGGGGAAUCCAAAGAGCUCAUUGAGCACCAGGCACAAUUAAACGAACCUGAAUUUCCAGGUAAAGGAAAGUGUACAUCCAAGCUGAAAAACAAUUUACCUCCAAAGAAACAAGAGCUGCACUGCAAUUAGCCUCUUUUGCCUACAAAACAUCCAAAUCAAUUUCACUUUUAUUGGAAAACACAGCUCUUAUGCAGCCCUGCUUAAGAUUUCCAAUGGUUUUGUUUACUUUGUUAGUGGUUUACCUGAACAAUUUACCUGAGAAAAAUUCAGUUCCAAUACUCCUCUAUCUCUGACCAUAAUUUGUUCCUUGGGAUAAGUGGGAUAAGUUGGUAGACUCGUCUGCAAUAAUUAAAAAAAAAAUAAUGCAUCACUGUUGAAUGAGUUUUUAUGGAAAAAUAUUUUGACCUGAUUUU